CCCUUAGAUGUUCUGGGCCGCACGCGUGCUACACUGAGUGGAUCAGCGGGUCAGGUUGCGCGAAAGCGUUUCCUAAUCUUUAAAUCCGCUCGUGAUGGGGAUUGACGGUUGCAAUUUUCUGUCAUGAACGAGGAAUACCUUGUAAGCGCGGGUCAUCAUCCCGCGCUGAAUACGUCCCUGCCCUUUGUACACACCGCCCGUCGCUCCUACCGAUUGAGUGGUCCGGUGAGGCUUUGGGAUCUGAGCGGAAAGAGCGUUUCGCUGUUUCUGCUCGGAAAACUCAGUCGAACCAUAUCAUUUAGAGGAAGGAGAAGUCGUAACA
RNAcentral lists this ribosomal RNA (322 nucleotides) under uncultured eukaryote. RNAcentral's name for it is "partial 18S ribosomal RNA". It matches the Rfam family "Eukaryotic small subunit ribosomal RNA", at positions 1470 to 1796 of the family's 1831-position model. The record is from RNAcentral.